UUAAAUUGAAGAGUUUGAUCAUGGCUCAGAUUGAACGCUGGCGGCAGGCCUAACACAUGCAAGUCGAACGGUAACAGAAAGAAGCUUGCUUCUUUGCUGACGAGUGGCGGACGGGUGAGUAAUGUCUGGGAAACUGCCUGAUGGAGGGGGAUAACUACUGGAAACGGUAGCUAAUACCGCAUAACGUCGCAAGACCAAAGAGGGGGACCUUCGGGCCUCUUGCCAUCGGAUGUGCCCAGAUGGGAUUAGCUUGUUGGUGGGGUAACGGCUCACCAAGGCGACGAUCCCUAGCUGGUCUGAGAGGAUGACCAGCCACACUGGAACUGAGACACGGUCCAGACUCCUACGGGAGGCAGCAGUGGGGAAUAUUGCACAAUGGGCGCAAGCCUGAUGCAGCCAUGCCGCGUGUAUGAAGAAGGCCUUCGGGUUGUAAAGUACUUUCAGCGGGGAGGAAGGGAGUAAAGUUAAUACCUUUGCUCAUUGACGUUACCCGCAGAAGAAGCACCGGCUAACUCCGUGCCAGCAGCCGCGGUAAUACGGAGGGUGCAAGCGUUAAUCGGAAUUACUGGGCGUAAAGCGCACGCAGGCGGUUUGUUAAGUCAGAUGUGAAAUCCCCGGGCUCAACCUGGGAACUGCAUCUGAUACUGGCAAGCUUGAGUCUCGUAGAGGGGGGUAGAAUUCCAGGUGUAGCGGUGAAAUGCGUAGAGAUCUGGAGGAAUACCGGUGGCGAAGGCGGCCCCCUGGACGAAGACUGACGCUCAGGUGCGAAAGCGUGGGGAGCAAACAGGAUUAGAUACCCUGGUAGUCCACGCCGUAAACGAUGUCGACUUGGAGGUUGUGCCCUUGAGGCGUGGCUUCCGGAGCUAACGCGUUAAGUCGACCGCCUGGGGAGUACGGCCGCAAGGUUAAAACUCAAAUGAAUUGACGGGGGCCCGCACAAGCGGUGGAGCAUGUGGUUUAAUUCGAUGCAACGCGAAGAACCUUACCUGGUCUUGACAUCCACGGAAGUUUUCAGAGAUGAGAAUGUGCCUUCGGGAACCGUGAGACAGGUGCUGCAUGGCUGUCGUCAGCUCGUGUUGUGAAAUGUUGGGUUAAGUCCCGCAACGAGCGCAACCCUUAUCCUUUGUUGCCAGCGGUCCGGCCGGGAACUCAAAGGAGACUGCCAGUGAUAAACUGGAGGAAGGUGGGGAUGACGUCAAGUCAUCAUGGCCCUUACGACCAGGGCUACACACGUGCUACAAUGGCGCAUACAAAGAGAAGCGACCUCGCGAGAGCAAGCGGACCUCAUAAAGUGCGUCGUAGUCCGGAUUGGAGUCUGCAACUCGACUCCAUGAAGUCGGAAUCGCUAGUAAUCGUGGAUCAGAAUGCCACGGUGAAUACGUUCCCGGGCCUUGUACACACCGCCCGUCACACCAUGGGAGUGGGUUGCAAAAGAAGUAGGUAGCUUAACCUUCGGGAGGGCGCUUACCACUUUGUGAUUCAUGACUGGGGUGAAGUCGUAACAAGGUAACCGUAGGGGAACCUGCGGUUGGAUCACCUCCUUACCUUAAAGAAGC
RNAcentral lists this ribosomal RNA (1556 nucleotides) under Escherichia coli. RNAcentral describes it as "bacterial SSU rRNA". It matches the Rfam family "Bacterial small subunit ribosomal RNA". Lineage: Bacteria; Pseudomonadati; Pseudomonadota; Gammaproteobacteria; Enterobacterales; Enterobacteriaceae. RNAcentral also lists the same sequence under 1 other name. The record is from RNAcentral.